ACAAAGAAUAUACAACUAUGUACCUGGGGGCUUUGGGGAGAAAAAGGAAAAAAAAAAUCAUUUAAAAUGAUGUUACAUCGACUGAGACCUGUUUUUCAUGGUUCUUUGUGUGUUGAAGGGCGCAUUCCCAAGUAAUCACCAGCCAGAGAAGCCUCCUCCCCUUUUUAUCAGCUCCCACAUUUUCCACAGUGUUUGCCCACUUGAGGCAUAUAAGUAGGAAAAAGGUACUUUGAAGAGAUAGAGAACUCUGGGUAUCACAUUUUCCAUUUUUAUUUCAAUUUUUAAUUGCCCAGAGCCUAAUUUCUUUGGGCCUCUGCUGAUUUGCACAUUCGAGAUUCAUGUGUAAAUAUGCAUGUGGUACGUGUGCACGCCUGGGCCUCCUUAUCACAAAGUGUGCUCUCUCGGUCUUUAAAUACACACAAUCCACGUCAACGCACAAUUAUGGGCUUGAGUAUUUGCCUCUUCUCCAGAAUCGGGUUAAUUUUCCCUUCGCUAAUCCUCAAACCCAUUAAGUUGCCCCCACACACAAAAAAUUGCCGACCCUACCACAGACCAGCGGUCCCACCCCACUCCUGCAGCCGGCAGCUCUCCAGGCGGGUGCUGGAGUGAAGUUUCCUAUUAGGCAGACUUCAUUAAUGUUACCAAAUAUACCCCAGCACAUUCACUCGUCUACUAUGAAGUAUUAUCAUAAAUAAUUAAAAUUAAACUGCACUUGUCAAAAUAAAUGAACAAAGUAGAGUUAGUGACGUCUCUGCCUUGAUUUGCCUGCCCUGGGUUUGCUUAUUCACUAAUUUGCAGAAAAGAAGAAAGAAGGAGAGAGAGGAGGAAAGAAAGCACAGCAGCGGCCGUGGGAAGGGGAGAGGGGACGUGGAGAGAAAGGAGAGAGAGGAAACCUCUUGGUCGUCUGCCCUUGGGGUCCCAUCAUUAGGGCGCUCUGGGAGGCUGUAAUGCGGUCACUAAUGUCAGCUCAUAAUGAAUAUUGAGGUGUGGAUGUGGAAGGGGGAUUUCUUUGUUUACUGAGGAAUGGCCCUGAGAAUGGGGAAGAGGAUGGCCUUUGGGGAUUAAGGAGUGGGCUUUGUUUUUAUGAAGGGCCUUACUCCUUUUCUGAAGUUUUCUGCAGCUAAUUGAUUCAGUUCAGAUGUUCCUUUGCCCCACCCGGCCGGCCGAGGCCCUGUGUUUGCGAGAUGCGCACAGCCCCACUUCCCCAUCUGCUCUGGUCCUUUCCUCUACUGUGACCCUGGAAAGGGUGUGAACCCUCCCAUCAAGGAGAUCACAGGCUAUGGAGAAAUCGGUCAGGGGCCGAGACCUUUGUAUGCAUCUGUGUGUGCUACACAGACACAUACGUACCAUGUCCAUAUGUAUGAUUAGAAGCAUAAUCUACAUACGGAAACAGAUCAUAGGUGUACAGUUCUAUGGGUUCUGACAAAUGCAUUUACACCCAUGUAACCAACACUCAAGAUAGACAGCAUUUCCCUCACUCCAGAAACUUCCCUCCUGGCUCUUCCCAGUCAAUCCCCGCCUACCCCCUUUCCAUGUCUCCUCCCAUGAAUUAGUUCAACUAUCUAGAGUUUCAUAUACAUGGACAAGGAAUAUACACCAGGAGUUUUUCUUUUUAAGAAUUUAUUUCAGGCCUGGAGGGAGCAUUGUCCUUGGAGGCCUGGCUAAGCCAGUGUUCAGGAGAUUUCGUGGUCACGGUUGCAUUGGACUUGUGUUAAACACCUUCCCCUUGGAUGGGGCCAGAAGUCAGACCUGUAAUUAGGAUUUUUGGGGAGGGGGCUGGUUUGGGCUGGUCUUCCGCCAGGACGGCCCUGUUCUCACCCUGGUCCUGCUAAUGAGCCAGGGGACAGGUGAGCCUUGCACAUUCCAACUUGCCUCCCAUCAGAGGCACCCAGGAGCCGGCUAGGAGCUAUUAAUGGAAGGUGCUGGCUUUGUGCUAAUUAAAACUUCCUUCCAGCUUCCAUCUGCAUAGGCACUGAGCCCCUCACUGGUCAGCCUCUCCCGGCCAUCACCUUUUAACCUCGUUUUUUUGUCCCCCUCCCCCCAUGAAUUAGCGGGUGCUGAGUGGAGCUGCUCGCCUCUGUCUCUGGCCAAACCCCAGUUCUUUGUGUGUUGCAGGAAUGCACAGGGUGGCAUUUCUCCAGCCUCUUCUGUCUCCUUAGGGGGCAGCUGGACUGCAAGUUGGGAAGGGGGCUCGGCACCACAGCAUCCUCCUAGCUAGGCUGGUCGGCUGGUCUCACACCAUCGACUUGGGUUUAUUUUGAAAAGGACCUCUCUCCUGUGCCCUCCACAGAGUGUGACUUCAGACCCUUGUCCCCUCCAUGUCCCCCAUUCCUGGUGCCUCCCAAGUCGAGUUGUACCCACCCCAUCUCAACAUUCAGCUGCCAUCUUUGCCAUCUCGGGCAGCCCAGGGGAGGGGGCUGUCACCCUGGCCCUCUUCUGAAAGCCCAAACUUUUUUUUUUUCAUUUUGCCUUUUAUUUCUUUCACCUCAGGCCCAAUGAACAUAAUUUUUUAAUGGAAGUUGUCUCUUAAAGAGAUUUCAUUAAAAAAAAACUACUAACGUCACAUUAACGUCAUUUAAAGAAAAAGCGCCUCCCAGCUUGGAGGUUCGAGGAGUUAACAGCUUCCUGCCUGGUGAUCAUUGGGAUGAAAUCUCUUGCAGGGAACCAGAGAGAGAGGGGCAUUUCCUCGCCACGCUCCUCUUUGUAGCUCCCUAAUCCCCUCAGGUCUCCAUUGGGGUUGAGAGUAAAAAUAUCACGCCCUCCGCGCCCCUCUAUCUCAUUUUCUCCUGCUUGAAUUGUCCUGAUAAUAAUACAGGUCACCCACUUCUUUAACAGUGUAGACUGGGGUUUUAAAAAUCAAGAGUGGAUUACUGGCUGCCAUGAGGCUUUGCCAGGUACCCCCAACGUUCUGGACCCAGGCUAAAGAGGGUGGCAAUGCCUCUGGGGUGCCCAGGAGGCCUGCAGAAAUUCCCUGCAGGAGGACUGGCUCGCCUCUGUGACCUUUUCGGCCCCGAGGGGUGACAAUUCCUGAGCUGCGGCACUGGGGUGGAAGACCCAGGACUAUCCCAGGCUGGGUUAACAAGCCAGCAAUCCAAACCCCAGAAAGGCAGCAGCUGGCAGCUGGGGAGGGAUGCCCACGCCUGGGAGGCAGGCCGUUCUGGCAUGCUUUGGCUGUUACAAUUCAGAGUAUCCUUAACAAGUCACAUCAUCUCUCUGGGCUUCUGUUUCCCCAUCUGUGAAAUGGGGAUAAUAGUAUCCCCACCUUCAGGGGUCACAUGAGAAUUAAGUAAAAUGUACAAGUGCCUGGCAUACAGUGGGCGCUGAGCAAAUGAUAGCUCUUUCUCCAGGCUGCGGCAGGGGGUGCACGGGAAUGUCUGGAUCUGAGGUUGAAACGUCCACCCGCAGGAGACAAAGCGCCAGGAAACGGCCAGUCUCAUGGAAGAGCUGACCAGCCACCUUCCUGCCCCAGUGCCUGCCAUGCCCACUGGGCUGAGGCCGGAACUGGGAGACGAAUCGGGACUCCAAGGAGCGCCCCGUCGGGGGAGAGUCGGAGAGGGUGUCGAGUUCCAGGCUUGGCUGGCUGGGGAGGGAGAUGAAUAAGUGUCUUCAGAGAUUCGAAGGGAGCAGGAUCCGGACAGACUUGCCCGGUGAAGAGGGCGCCGCCAGGAGGCCAUGCGCGCUCCGGUUCGGCAUUUCCAGCAGUUAGGCUUGGGGAGAAUCGCCUGGGUCCCGGCUCUGGCAGAGUCCGGGUCUCUCACGAGCAGCGCUGUCCGGGAAGCCAGGGUCGUCCUGGGGCGGUCGCUGGCAGGCUCUCCGAGAUGCGCGGGACCCUGGGCGCAUGGAAGUGCCCCACUUCCCGGGUGGUUGGAUGCCUGGCCCGCUGGUGGGUAAGGAGCUCCGGGCAGGAGGGAACCUCCCUUAGCCAGGCUUCCCUCGGGCAUCCUGGGCGGGCGAUACCGAGGCGGGAGAGCGCCCAGCAGCCGCGCCGGGCUGUGGUCGUGACCUGGAGGACACGUGUGUCCCCAUCCCCACCUUCCAGUGGACCGCGGCGCGCGUCUGGGCGGGCGUGGGGGGCCCCUGAUGUGUCUUUUCUGUUUUACAGCUACUCCCCUGCAGGCGCCUCUCUCCUCGGUGCCCUCUUGUCGGGCACGAAUUCGCCGUCUGCACCCGUCCGUUCGUCAGUUCGUAGGAGGGCGCGCGGGAGGAAAGGACAUGCCUGGAGCCGGAAGACAGAAAGGAGAAGCAGGAGCCUGGUGGAGGAGUCGGAAGCUGGGAAGGAGGAGAAAAUGAAACGUUGCCUGAAGACAAUGGCCAAGACAGCAGGUCCCACCCAGCACAGCCGCCAGCACCUCUGCUCCAGCCCCGGCUCCUCCUCCACGGUCAGGAUCUGCACAUCACACCACUUGGUCCGCAGGAAGGAGAAAAAGAACCCCCAAACCAAUCUAUAGAAAAACGUGGCUGGCCAUGGACACACCGGGGAAGCUUAGACAGUUGAAGAUUGUCCUGUGAGGUGCGAUGGGACAGCGUCUUUUCAGCUUCUCUGAAAAUGGAGACGGAGAGGAAAUCAGGGCCUUGCCAAGGUCACAGGACCGGAAUACAGAGCCACACCACCCCAGGACACUCAAGAUCAUCGGAAGAGAAAAGCCAAGCAGGAAGGGAAGAGGCAGUAGCCACUGUCCCGGGCCACAGCAAUCAGGGGUCAGGACGGAGGAGGACCUGCGCACGGGGCACUGUGCAGGCUCCGCGCCCCGUCCUGCCCAUCGGGGACUCGGCGGGGGCACUGGGGAACGUGCCCCAACCCAUCCCACAGAGACCUUUGCCUUUGCUUGUUUGGCCACCAUUUCUGCCCUUGUCACACCAUGUGCCUGUUCUGGGCCUGAGGUGUUCUAGCCAGGUCUCCAGCAAACAGAAGCUCUUUGCCAUCCAUAUUUCCACCCCGGAGGACCAGGGGCAGCAUGCCGGGAGGCUGCCGAAGCCAGGGGCUCCAGUCUUCUAGGAGUUAACGGCUCCCUCUCCCCAGCUGUCCUCCCCUUGGUGCUCCUCUUCCUCCCUCCUCCUGCUCACAGCAGGCAGGGCCUGGACCUGGGAGCCACGCGGCUGUGCUGUUGCCAGGGGAGCCGGGAGGCAGAUCUGAGCUAUGCAGGGAAAAGGCCCGGCCUGUCAAAGUGUCUGAGAUGAACCGCCACCGUCCCCGCGCAGCUGGGCGCAGACGUGCUCGGCUCUUGUUCUGUGCCUGAGAAUGGCGGAGCCCAGCGAGGUUCAAGGGCACACUCACUAUUCAUUAGUCAGGGGUUCUUGACGUCCCGUCUCUCCCAGGGAUGGGUCCCCCCCUUCCUCUCUCCCUCCUGGGACACAUUCCUGGGUGCCUUUGGUGAGGACUGCACACCCUCCUCCUCCUCCUGCCCAGCCCCCUCCCCAAAGGCCCCUGAGUAAACCCCAAGGAGACCAGGCGAGGCAGAGACAAUGGCCGCAGGGAACCGUUCAGGCGGGACCCCAGCCACGCCGGCCUGCCCUCCACCCCCAGCACCCCUGUGGGCCCCACUCCCCUCUGACUCAGUGCACCCCUGGGCACCAGCCUGCGCAGGCCUAGGACAUUGCCCUCAGGGCAGCAGACCGGUCCCAUUGCCAUUCUCAGGGGGCUCCUUGGAUGCUCCAUGGCCUGUAUCUCACACAGCUGGCCAUCUGGGUGCCGUUCUCUACCAUCGUGUGUCUAUUUUAAGAUACUCUCAAACACUGUUGGUUGGAGGGUGUAAAUUGUACAAUACUUUUUCAAAUGUGGCAAUAUCGAAAUGUAAAAGAUACAUACACUGGGUCACAAGAAAAUUGCACCACUAGGAGAAAAGUUCCCAGAGAAAUAUGUACAAGGAUGAUCGCCGGAGCAUCUCUUUUUUAAGAGUGUAAAGAAAUGGAAAGGAACCUAUGGUCCAUCCAUAUUGUGGAAUACUAUGCAGCUGCAAAAACUGGUGUGGCUGAUCUCUCUGUAUAAGCUCAUUUAGAGGGUUGGCCAGUGUAUGCUGUUGGGAGAAUAGAAUAAAUUGCAGAGCAGGCA
This is a non-coding RNA of Equus caballus (horse), 6049 nucleotides long. NCBI's taxonomy places the organism in Eukaryota, Metazoa, Chordata, Mammalia, Perissodactyla, Equidae. The record is from RefSeq and is a predicted model, not a curated record.